This 2264-nucleotide ribosomal RNA is filed under the name uncultured Odoribacter sp. RNAcentral describes it as "partial contains 16S ribosomal RNA, 16S-23S ribosomal RNA intergenic spacer, and 23S ribosomal RNA". The stretch from base 1 to 1498 matches the Rfam family "Bacterial small subunit ribosomal RNA". Lineage: Bacteria; Pseudomonadati; Bacteroidota; Bacteroidia; Bacteroidales; Odoribacteraceae. The record is from RNAcentral.
GAUGAACGCUAGCGACAGGCUUAACACAUGCAAGUCGAGGGGCAUCGGGGAGUAGCAAUACUCUGCCGGCGACCGGCGCACGGGUGAGUAACGCGUAUGGAACCUGCCCUGUACAGGGGAAUAGCCCAUGGAAACGUGGAUUAAUGUCCCAUAUGACAUUCGGGAGGCAUCUUUCGGGUGUAAAAUUUUCGGAGGUACAGGAUGGCCAUGCGUCCUAUUAGAUAGUUGGCGGGGUAACGGCCCACCAAGUCGAUGAUAGGUAGGGGUUCUGAGAGGAAGGUCCCCCACAUUGGAACUGAGACACGGUCCAAACUCCUACGGGAGGCAGCAGUGAGGAAUAUUGGUCAAUGGGCGCGAGCCUGAACCAGCCAAGUCGCGUGAGGGAAGACUGCCCUAUGGGUUGUAAACCUCUUUUAUUCGGGAAGAAUAAGCCUUACGAGUAGGGUGAUGCCUGUACCGAAUGAAUAAGCAUCGGCUAACUCCGUGCCAGCAGCCGCGGUAAUACGGAGGAUGCGAGCGUUAUCCGGAUUUAUUGGGUUUAAAGGGUGCGUAGGCGGCCUGUUAAGUUAGUGGUUAAAUGUCGGGGCUAAACCCCGGAUUGCCAUUAAAACUGGCGGGCUCGAGUACAGACGAGGUAGGCGGAAUAAGUCAAGUAGCGGUGAAAUGCUUAGAUAUGACUUAGAACUCCGAUAGCGAAGGCAGCUUACCAGGCUGAGACUGACGCUGAAGCACGAGAGCGUGGGUAGCGAACAGGAUUAGAUACCCUGGUAGUCCACGCCGUAAACGAUGCUCACUGGUUCUUGGCGACAAACGGUCGGGGAUCAAGCGAAAGUAUUAAGUGAGCCACCUGGGGAGUACGUCGGCAACGAUGAAACUCAAAGGAAUUGACGGGGGCCCGCACAAGCGGAGGAACAUGUGGUUUAAUUCGAUGAUACGCGAGGAACCUUACCCGGGUUUAAAUGUUGAUGGACUUAAUUGGAAACAGUUAUUCUCUUCGGAGCCGUCAUCAAGGUGCUGCAUGGUUGUCGUCAGCUCGUGCCGUGAGGUGUCGGGUUAAGUCCCAUAACGAGCGCAACCCUUACCGUCAGUUGCCAUCAGGUAAAGCUGGGGACUCUGUCGGGACUGCCACCGUAAGGUGAGAGGAAGGCGGGGAUGACGUCAAAUCAGCACGGCCCUUACACCCGGGGCUACACACGUGUUACAAUGGCCGGUACAGAGGGCAGCUACCUGGAGACAGGAUGCGAAUCUCGAAAGCCGGUCGUAGUUCGGAUUGGAGUCUGUAACCCGACUCCAUGAAGUUGGAUUCGCUAGUAAUCGCGCAUCAGCCAUGGCGCGGUGAAUACGUUCCCGGGCCUUGUACACACCGCCCGUCAAGCCAUGGGAGCCGGGGGUGCCUGAAGUCCGUAACCGCGAGGGGCGGCCUAGGGCAAAACUGGUAACUGGGGCUAAGUCGUAACAAGGUAGCCGUACCGGAAGGUGCGGCUGGAACACCUCCUUUCUGGAGUUUGGUUGUUGGAAUCGUGCUUGCUGGUUGAAACCUUUAAAUAUAUGGUCACAAGUUUUUGGAACAUGGAAAAGGUUCGAUUCCUUUUGACUUGUCAGUUUCCCUUUCCGAAGGGAUGCAGUUCUUUGACAUAUUGGAAAGAGAAGACGGAUUAUAAUAUAAUCCGCAACAGAGAUUUGCGCAUAUGCAUGGAUGUAUAUGCGCGGAUAACGAGCAAAAAGAAUCCGUCCGAUGGCAGUGAUGCCGGGAUGGACGGACGAGUAAGCUAAAGUAGAAAUUAAAGUAAGCGAACAAGGGCGUAUGGUGGAUGCCUAGGCUCUCAGAGGCGACGAAGGACGUGAUAAGCUGCGAUAAGCCGCGGGUAGGUGCAAAUGACCUUAGAUCCGCGGAUUUCCGAAUGGGACAACCCGUUGCAUUGAAGAUGCAUCAUGCCGUAAGGCAGGCAAACGCAGGGAACUGAAACAUCUAAGUACCUGCAGGAAUAGAAAACAAACGUGAUUCCCCCAGUAGCGGCGAGCGACCGGGGAUUAGCCCAAACCGCGGAUGUUUCGGCAUCCGCGGGGUAGUAGGACCGCGACAUUGCUGAAAAGUACGAAAUGGAACGUCUUGGAAAUGGCGAUCAUAGAGGGUGACAAUCCCGUACAUGCAAGUACGUGAAGCAUAGCGGUAUCCUGAGUAAGUCGGGACACGAGGAAUCCUGACCGAAUCCGCCGGGACCAUCCGGCAAGGCUAAAUACUCCUGAGAGACCGAUAGUGGACA